This 455-nucleotide ribosomal RNA is filed under the name uncultured bacterium. Its description in RNAcentral is "partial 16S ribosomal RNA". It matches the Rfam family "Bacterial small subunit ribosomal RNA", at positions 355 to 796 of the family's 1533-position model. The record is from RNAcentral.
UGGGGAAUAUUGCACAAUGGGCGCAAGCCUGAUGCAGCCAUGCCGCGUGUGUGAAGAAGGCCUUCGGGUUGUAAAGCACUUUCAGCGAGGAGGAAGGUGGUGGACUUAAUACGUUCAUCAAUUGACGUUACUCGCAGAAGAAGCACCGGCUAACUCCGUGCCAGCAGCCGCGGUAAUACGGAGGGUGCAAGCGUUAAUCGGAAUUACUGGGCGUAAAGCGCACGCAGGCGGUUUGUUAAGUCAGAUGUGAAAGUCCCCGGGCUCAACCUGGGAACUGCAUUUGAAACUGGCAAGCUAGAGUCUCGUAGAGGGGGGCUAGAAUUCCAGGUGUAGCGGUGAAAUGCGUAGAGAUCUGGAGGAAUACCGGUGGCGAAGGCGGCCCCCUGGACGAAGACUGACGCUCAGGUUCGAACGCAGUCGGGUGGAGCAAACAGGAUUAGAUACCCUGGUAGUCC